CUCUGGCUUCUCUGCGCUUUUCUCACGUUCUCAUUGAAUGUGCACUGAACACCUACUGUGUGCCAGACACCAUCCUCAGCCCUGGGGGUUCGGCAGUGACCAAAUCCCUAUUGUCUCGAAACGGAGAGAACAAGGGAAUAUUUGUUGACUUAAGCUGUGCUGAGCGAUCAAUGCUGGGAGGAAAAAGCAAGCAGGAGAGGGGGUGGUGACGGCGGUGAGGGCAGAAAUGUAGGGACAGUGUGUUCCAGGCAGAGGGAAAGGCCAGAGGUAUUACCCGGCCUGGUCACCGUCAGGCACAGAGAAGAGGUCCAGAGCGGGGGGAGAGAGCGCGGCUGACGAGAGCCCUGAUCCCACCAUCACCGCAGCUGGCAUUUCUCUUUCUCCUCCAAGACGGCCUUCAAGCCCUGGACACCCAGAGGACUCGGGAAGAAGGGAAGGCCCCUAAAUGUUUCAGGCAGCAGAGAGACGGAAACCAAGACCCACAGUGGUAAAGCCGCUUGCCAAGGUCAUGCAGCUGUGAGAGAAAGUCAGGAUUUAAACCCACGCGGGAGACUCCGUGCCUGGAACCGUUAUGCGGCAUAUUAAUAAUAACUGCUGUUACUUGUGUGGGGCCCUGGGGGGUGAGGGUGGGCACAGAAGCCUGCUUUGGGGAACAUCAGGGGAGGCCCUCAGGAGACUUCUGGGAGUCUUGAAUGAUCAGAACCCUGGAGAGAGGGGUAAAAAAAAAAUCACUGUUCUGGGUAAAGGGAACAACAUGUGCAAAGGCCUCAAGUAAAAAAAAACAGCAAGAUGGAAAAAAAACAGCAGCAACAUGUUUCAACCUGGCUGCAGCCAGCUGAGAAUGGUUGGAGGGGUGGGCAGCAGCCCUGACUUCGCAAGGUCUCGUGGGCCUAGGUGAAGAAUUUAAAAUUUAUUCCGAGGGCCAAGGAGGCUAACGAUAACCUAUUUUUUAUAAUUUUAAAAAAUUGUGAAA
Long non-coding RNA from Manis pentadactyla (Chinese pangolin), 973 nucleotides. RefSeq lists it as uncharacterized. The transcript has 3 exons. NCBI's taxonomy places the organism in Eukaryota, Metazoa, Chordata, Mammalia, Pholidota, Manidae. The record is from RefSeq and is a predicted model, not a curated record.